RNAcentral lists this ribosomal RNA (432 nucleotides) under uncultured soil bacterium. RNAcentral describes it as "bacterial SSU rRNA". It matches the Rfam family "Bacterial small subunit ribosomal RNA", at positions 26 to 510 of the family's 1533-position model. The record is from RNAcentral.
AGAGCGAACGCUGGCGGCAGGCCUAAUACAUGCAAGUCGAGCGGUCCCUUCGGGGGCAGCGGCGGACGGGUGAGUAACGCGUGGGAACGUGCCCUUUGGUACGGAACAACUGAGGGAAACUUCAGCUAAUACCGUAUGUGCCCUUCGGGGGAAAGAUUUAUCGCCAUUGGAGCGGCCCGCGUUGGAUUAGGUAGUUGGUGAGGUAAAGGCUCACCAAGCCUACGAUCCAUAGCUGGUCUGAGAGGAUGAUCAGCCACACUGGGACUGAGACACGGCCCAGACUCCUACGGGAGCAGCAGUAGGGAAUCGUUGCGCAAGUGGGACGAAAGCCUAGACGCAGCCAUGCCGCGUGAAUGAUGAAGUCUAGAUUGUAAAUUCUUCGUACGGAGAUAAUGAGUACCGAAGAAGAACGACCCGACGUACUUCGUGCCA